AACGAACGCUGGCGGCAUGCUUCAUACAUGCAAGUCGAACGGUUGUAGCAAUACAAUAGUGGCGAACGGGUGAGUAACACGUGGAUAAUCUGCCCUUUGGCGGGGGAUAUCGGCUGGAAACGGCCGGCAAUACCGCAUGUGGUUCGUGGGUCUUCGGCCCUGCGAAAGAAAGGCGCUUCACGGCGUCACCAGAGGAUGAGUCCGCGGCCCAUUAGCUAGUUGGUGAGAUAACAGCCCACCAAGGCUUUGAUGGGUAGCCGAGCUGAGAGGUUGAUCGGCCACACUGGAACUGAGACACGGUCCAGACACCUACGGGUGGCAGCAGUAGGGAAUAUUGGACAAUGGGCGCAAGCCUGAUCCAGCAAUGCCGCGUGAGUGACGAAGGAUUUCGGUCUGUAAAGCUCUUUUCUGGGGGAAGAAAUGAUGGAAGAGGAAAUGCUUCCAUUUUGACGGUACCUCAGGAAUAAGGGAC
Molecule: ribosomal RNA, 472 nt
Filed under: uncultured bacterium
Lineage: Bacteria
Description: bacterial SSU rRNA
Rfam family: Bacterial small subunit ribosomal RNA
Source: RNAcentral